CCGAUGCUUCCUGGGAUAGGCUCCAGGUUCCCCGUGACCCUGAAGGAAGGAUAAGCAGUGAUGGAUGGAUGGAUAACUUGCUUAUUACCUGCUUAUAAUUUGGACUUGUCAGUGUAGCAAUAACUGCGUGAGGUCUGUGCAAUCACGCCACACACUGUAUCUAGUCUAAUCUGUGAAAGUUCGGGUGUUGACGCUGGGGUAUGCUGAUAGUGAUGCGGUUUGGUUUGGGACGGAGCUGCUGUCCGUGUAAUUUAGGAAGCCGUUUGGGAUUUUAGUGAGGAGUGCAGAUGCAGCGAGGACUUGCGCUUUAAGCCCGUCCCAAAUCAUCAUGAAGGGGGGCGCGGACACUCCAAAACUCCAGUGCGUAAAAGUUGAUCCACAUGGGUUAUGCGCGCACACCGGGCAUCCGCGUGAAGGCUUUUUAAUCCGAUUUUUUCCUUCUUAUUAAAAAAAAUUAAAUGCCUCCUUAACACCGCGGAUUUUAUCCUUCAAGACCUGUCAGGAUUGGAGUGAUUGAAGUGUUUUCUGUGGACUGACCGAUGGAAACAUGAGCCGAUUUUAUUAUCGCAUGCUUCUUUUCCCAUUUACUCUCUUCAGUACUGUUUUACUUCCGACUUCUGGAAAAUCCCAAAAUGAAGCUGACAGAAACGGGAGGAAGUGCUGUAAAGGUUUCAGGUUCGUCAUGGGCCAGUGUGUACCAGAAAGUAGGUAAAAUCUUGUUUUGUUUUAUUUUUUAAAUUCUCAUCAGCUUUUUAAAUUCACACACUCUGCGGUUAUUAAAACUGAUUAACUACAUGUUCUCAGUUCGUUUCAUUAUAUUUCAUUAUAUUUGAUCAAUCGACCUUUUAAAUAAAGUACUUUCAGUGCGGUAUCAGGUCGCAAUGCUCUUCUUGACCACCAGGGGGAUUAUAUUAUAUUGUAAAUACUGUACAUAGACAUGAACAGAUAUACUGUAUGUACUGUGUGUGUGUGUGUGUGUGUGUGUGUGUGUGU
Molecule: long non-coding RNA, 993 nt
Organism: Ictalurus punctatus (channel catfish)
Lineage: Eukaryota; Metazoa; Chordata; Actinopteri; Siluriformes; Ictaluridae
Source: Ensembl